GUUAAUAAGCUUUAGAAAGCAUAUAUUUUGAAAAUAUAAGAAAAAGGUUUAAUUCCUUUAUUAGCUU
This 67-nucleotide transfer RNA is filed under the name Apolygus lucorum. RNAcentral describes it as "tRNA-Ser". It matches the Rfam family "tRNA". From Rfam's summary of the family: Transfer RNA (tRNA) molecules are approximately 80 nucleotides in length. The record is from RNAcentral. Lineage: Eukaryota; Metazoa; Arthropoda; Insecta; Hemiptera; Miridae.